RNAcentral lists this ribosomal RNA (240 nucleotides) under uncultured bacterium. Its description in RNAcentral is "partial 16S ribosomal RNA". It matches the Rfam family "Bacterial small subunit ribosomal RNA", at positions 15 to 244 of the family's 1533-position model. The record is from RNAcentral.
GAUCAUGGCUCAGGAUGAACGCUAGCUACAGGCUUAACACAUGCAAGUCGAGGGGCAGUAUGUAUCUGGCUUGCCAGAUACGAUGGCGACCGGCGCACUGGUGAGUAACGCGUAUCCGACCUGCCGCACACUCCGGGAUAGCCUUGCGAAAGCAAGUUUAAUACCGGAUGCCGUAAGGACGCCGCAUGGUGUUUUUACGAAAGGGGUUUACCGGUGUGCGAUGGGGAUGCGUCCCAUUAG